This 472-nucleotide ribosomal RNA is filed under the name uncultured organism. RNAcentral's name for it is "partial 16S ribosomal RNA". It matches the Rfam family "Bacterial small subunit ribosomal RNA", at positions 332 to 796 of the family's 1533-position model. The record is from RNAcentral.
UACACUCCUGCGGGAGGCAGCAGUGGGGAAUUUUGGACAAUGGGCGAAAGCCUGAUCCAGCAAUGCCGCGUGAGUGAAGAAGGCCUUCGGGUUGUAAAGCUCUUUUGUCAGGGAAGAAACGGUGAAAGCUAAUAUCUUUUGCUAAUGACGGUACCUGAAGAAUAAGCACCGGCUAACUACGUGCCAGCAGCCGCGGUAAUACGUAGGGUGCAAGCGUUAAUCGGAAUUACUGGGCGUAAAGCGUGCGCAGGCGGUUUUGUAAGUCUGAUGUGAAAUCCCCGGGCUCAACCUGGGAAUUGCAUUGGAGACUGCAAGGCUAGAAUCUGGCAGAGGGGGGUAGAAUUCCACGUGUAGCAGUGAAAUGCGUAGAUAUGUGGAGGAACACCGAUGGCGAAGGCAGCCCCCUGGGUCAAGAUUGACGCUCAUGCACGAAAGCGUGGGGAGCAAACAGGAUUAGAUACCCCAGUAGUCC